Molecule: ribosomal RNA, 309 nt
Filed under: uncultured Enterobacteriaceae bacterium
Lineage: Bacteria; Pseudomonadati; Pseudomonadota; Gammaproteobacteria; Enterobacterales; Enterobacteriaceae
Description: bacterial SSU rRNA
Rfam family: Bacterial small subunit ribosomal RNA
Source: RNAcentral
UGGGGAAUAUUGCACAAUGGGCGCAAGCCUGAUGCAGCCAUGCCGCGUGUAUGAAGAAGGCCUUCGGGUUGUAAAGUACUUUCAGCGAGGAGGAAGGCGUUGUGGUUAAUAACCGCAGCGAUUGACGUUACUCGCAGAAGAAGCACCGGCUAACUCCGUGCCAGCAGCCGCGGUAAUACGGAGGGUGCAAGCGUUAAUCGGAAUUACUGGGCGUAAAGCGCACGCAGGCGGUCUGUCAAGUCGGAUGUGAAAUCCCCCGGGCUCAACCUGGGAACUGCAUCCGAAACUGGCAGGCUAGAGUCUUGUAGA